AUACAUGCAAGUCGAGCGAACAGACAAGGAGCUUGCUCCUUUGACGUUAGCGGCGGACGGGUGAGUAACACGUGGGUAACCUACCUAUAAGACUGGGAUAACUUCGGGAAACCGGAGCUAAUACCGGAUAAUAUUUCGAACCGCAUGGUUCGAUAGUGAAAGAUGGUUUUGCUAUCACUUAUAGAUGGACCCGCGCCGUAUUAGCUAGUUGGUAAGGUAACGGCUUACCAAGGCGACGAUACGUAGCCGACCUGAGAGGGUGAUCGGCCACACUGGAACUGAGACACGGUCCAGACUCCUACGGGAGGCAGCAGUAGGGAAUCUUCCGCAAUGGGCGAAAGCCUGACGGAGCAACGCCGCGUGAGUGAUGAAGGUCUUCGGAUCGUAAAACUCUGUUAUUAGGGAAGAACAUACGUGUAAGUAACUAUGCACGUCUUGACGGUACCUAAUCAGAAAGCCACGGCUAACUACGUGCCAGCAGCCGCGGUAAUACGUAGGUGGCAAGCGUUAUCCGGAAUUAUUGGGCGUAAAGCGCGCGUAGGCGGUUUUUUAAGUCUGAUGUGAAAGCCCACGGCUCAACCGUGGAGGGUCAUUGGAAACUGGAAAACUUGAGUGCAGAAGAGGAAAGUGGAAUUCCAUGUGUAGCGGUGAAAUGCGCAGAGAUAUGGAGGAACACCAGUGGCGAAGGCGACUUUCUGGUCUGUAACUGACGCUGAUGUGCGAAAGCGUGGGGAUCAAACAGGAUUAGAUACCCUGGUAGUCCACGCCGUAAACGAUGAGUGCUAAGUGUUAGGGGGUUUCCGCCCCUUAGUGCUGCAGCUAACGCAUUAAGCACUCCGCCUGGGGAGUACGACCGCAAGGUUGAAACUCAAAGGAAUUGACGGGGACCCGCACAAGCGGUGGAGCAUGUGGUUUAAUUCGAAGCAACGCGAAGAACCUUACCAAAUCUUGACAUCCUUUGACAACUCUAGAGAUAGAGCCUUCCCCUUCGGGGGACAAAGUGACAGGUGGUGCAUGGUUGUCGUCAGCUCGUGUCGUGAGAUGUUGGGUUAAGUCCCGCAACGAGCGCAACCCUUAAGCUUAGUUGCCAUCAUUAAGUUGGGCACUCUAAGUUGACUGCCGGUGACAAACCGGAGGAAGGUGGGGAUGACGUCAAAUCAUCAUGCCCCUUAUGAUUUGGGCUACACACGUGCUACAAUGGACAAUACAAAGGGCAGCGAAACCGCGAGGUCAAGCAAAUCCCAUAAAGUUGUUCUCAGUUCGGAUUGUAGUCUGCAACUCGACUACAUGAAGCUGGAAUCGCUAGUAAUCGUAGAUCAGCAUGCUACGGUGAAUACGUUCCCGGGUCUUGUACACACCGCCCGUCACACCACGAGAGUUUGUAACACCCGAAGCCGGUGGAGUAACCAUUUGGAGCUAGCCGUCGAA
This 1428-nucleotide ribosomal RNA is filed under the name Staphylococcus haemolyticus. RNAcentral describes it as "bacterial SSU rRNA". It matches the Rfam family "Bacterial small subunit ribosomal RNA". The record is from RNAcentral. Lineage: Bacteria; Bacillati; Bacillota; Bacilli; Caryophanales; Staphylococcaceae.